CACGUAGGAGGCGAGCGUUGUCCGGAAUCAUUGGGCGUAAAGAGCGCGCAGGCGGCCCGGCAAGUCGGGUGUGAAAUCCCGGGGCUCAACCCCGGGACUGCAUUCGAUACUGCCGGGCUAGAGGUAGGUAGGGGAGAUCGGAAUUCCUGGUGUAGCGGUGAAAUGCGCAGAUAUCAGGAGGAACACCAAUAGCGAAGGCAGCUCGCUGGGACGUUACUGACACUAAGGCGCGAAAGCGUGGGGAGCGAACAGG
This 253-nucleotide ribosomal RNA is filed under the name uncultured bacterium. Its description in RNAcentral is "partial 16S ribosomal RNA". It matches the Rfam family "Bacterial small subunit ribosomal RNA", at positions 524 to 776 of the family's 1533-position model. The record is from RNAcentral.